GGAUCAAUGUUUGUUCCUCCAAAACUUGCAGCCUAUACAGACCAUUAUGACAUAUCAUCAGUUGAUUUAUCAGAAUUAACUACUAGUUAAUAUUCAUUUAGGAUAACAAUGCUAAGUAACUGGACAGUCCCAUGAAUUGUUAUAUAUUAUCAAUGCCCUGAAAAGAAAGAAGCACAAACCAUAAAGAUUCCAUGGAGUUGGGGGGUGGAGUAGUUGUAGAGGAAAAGGGGAAGGCCUGGAGUGAUCGCCCUCACUGAAUCUCGGUAACGUGGAGGCAAAUAUAAAUUAUAAUUCAAGAAACAGUUUAGAAAUGGGUAAUAACACACACAGAUUAAAAUCAAAAGAAACCUUGGUUUAGAAAAUUAUCCUAAAAAUCCCAGAACUUUUAUGCAAUGAACCCAAGAAGAACAUGAACAAUACUAUUAGACAGGGAAAGUAAAAAAAGAAUAACAGAGUUAGAAAUCGAUAGACAUACCAAGAGCUGCCUCUU
Molecule: unclassified non-coding RNA, 490 nt
Filed under: Hevea brasiliensis (rubber tree)
Lineage: Eukaryota; Viridiplantae; Streptophyta; Magnoliopsida; Malpighiales; Euphorbiaceae
Source: RNAcentral